UGGUCCAUGUUAUGGCCUUUCUAACCCGUUCUUUCAUCGUCUUCCUCUCAACAAAGACAUUCUUGUUUUCUCGAGCUAGGCGGAGAUUAACCCUCGAGCGCGAAACUAGAACGAGAGCUUGGCUACAAGACCCACCUGUGAAAUCCCACAUCGAGAUGUUGGAGAGGAGAACAUAGCAUUCCUUGUAAAAUUGUGAGGUUAACAGCGAUAUGCAAGGGCUCUUACAAGUGGUAUCACAGCUAGUCAUUGGGCGGUGUGCUAGCGAGAAUGCUGAGCCCCUAAAGGGUGGAUUGUGAGGUCCCACAUCGGUGGAAGAGGAGAACGAAACAUUCUUUAUAAGAGUGUGGAAACCUCUUACUAAUAGUCAAAAUAGACAAUAUCUAUUAGCAGUAAUUUUGAGCGGUUACACACUCUGUGGAAGGGUCAUCACUAAUUCUCUUAUUAUCUACUUUCUUUAGAACGUGUUCUUGCAUGGUUGCUCAAAGCUUCAAAGAACUAAAAAACCCGAGAAGCCAUUCGAACCGAACCGAAUCAAAUCGAACUAAACCUAAGCGGUUCGAGAGAGAGCUUUCUAUUUGAAUGAAAAUGGUGGGUUAGAGAGAGAAGAUUCCUUAAUCACCUUUCCUUUUUACCAUCAAUGAUGAUGUUCAUUUUGCAUCUCCUACAUUUCUGUGAAAAACGUUAAAUAUUUGUCUCUUUCUUGCA
Molecule: long non-coding RNA, 705 nt
Organism: Cucurbita moschata (crookneck pumpkin)
Lineage: Eukaryota; Viridiplantae; Streptophyta; Magnoliopsida; Cucurbitales; Cucurbitaceae
Exons: 2
Source: RefSeq, a predicted model, not a curated record